UAGGGAAUCUUCGGCAAUGGACGGAAGUCUGACCGAGCAACGCCGCGUGAGUGAAGAAGGUUUUCGGAUCGUAAAGCCCUGUUGUUAGAGAAGAACGUUGGUAGGAGCGGAAAAUCUACCAAGUGACGGUAACUAACCAGAAAGGGACGGCUAACUACGUGCCAGCAGCCGCGGUAAUACGUAGGUCCCGAGCGUUGUCCGGAUUUAUUGGGCGUAAAGCGAGCGCAGGCGGUUCUUUAAGUCUGAAGUUAAAGGCAGUGGCUUAACCAUUGUACGCUUUGGAAACUGGAGGACUUGAGUGCAGAAGGGGAGAGUGGAAUUCCAUGGGUAGCGGUGAAAUGCGUAGAUAUAUGGAGGAACACCGGUGGCGAAAGCGGCUCUCUGGUCUGUAACUGACGCUGAGGCUCGAAAGCGUGGGGAGCAAACAGG
This 429-nucleotide ribosomal RNA is filed under the name Bacillota bacterium. RNAcentral describes it as "Firmicutes bacterium partial 16S ribosomal RNA". It matches the Rfam family "Bacterial small subunit ribosomal RNA", at positions 355 to 776 of the family's 1533-position model. The record is from RNAcentral. Lineage: Bacteria; Bacillati; Bacillota.